AGCCAGUGUGGUGUUGUGGUUUUGAGUGCUGGACUGUGACUCUAGAGACCCGGGUUCGAAUCCUGGCUUGGCUA
Molecule: non-coding RNA, 74 nt
Organism: Phrynosoma platyrhinos (Desert horned lizard)
Lineage: Eukaryota; Metazoa; Chordata; Lepidosauria; Squamata; Phrynosomatidae
Source: the annotation of a GenBank genome assembly